Molecule: long non-coding RNA, 302 nt
Organism: Centruroides sculpturatus (bark scorpion)
Lineage: Eukaryota; Metazoa; Arthropoda; Arachnida; Scorpiones; Buthidae
Exons: 3
Source: RefSeq, a predicted model, not a curated record
AGAACAUAGAAAAAAAGAACAUUAGCCCAUUGAAGGAAGCCACGAGAAGGAAGAGAUGAAAAAUAGGUUUUUUUUUUUAAAGAAAAGUCAAAGAAUAAUAAGAAAAAGAGAUAAGCAUAAAAGUUGCCUGGACCGAACACCGCCCUAUCUACUUAUUGCAAAGAGAUGCAGUAAUGGAAAAUGCAAUGGCAUUUAAAAAGCGCCAUGGGAGUGGUACUUUCUGUCUUUCCAGAAUGAUUUAAGAUGGGAUGAAAAGAUAAUGUUUAAUUUAAGAAAAGGAAGAGCUUGUCUUCAAAAAUGAG